AUUGAACGCUGGCGGCAUGCCUUACACAUGCAAGUCGAACGGUAACGGGCCUUCGGGUGCCGACGAGUGGCGAACGGGUGAGUAAUACAUCGGAACGUGCCCGAUCGUGGGGGAUAACGAGGCGAAAGCUUUGCUAAUACCGCAUACGAUCUACGGAUGAAAGCAGGGGACCGCAAGGCCUUGCGCGGACGGAGCGGCCGAUGGCAGAUUAGGUAGUUGGUGGGAUAAAAGCUUACCGAGCCGACGAUCUGUAGCUGGUCUGAGAGGAUGAUCAGCCACACUGGGACUGAGACACGGCCCAGACUCCUACGGGAGGCAGCAGUGGGGAAUUUUGGACAAUGGGCGCAAGCCUGAUCCAGCCAUGCCGCGUGCAGGAUGAAGGCCUUCGGGUUGUAAACUGCUUUUGUACGGAACGAAAAGCCUUCUUUUAAUACAGGAGGGUCAUGACGGUACCGUAAGAAUAAGCACCGGCUAAUUACGUG
This 482-nucleotide ribosomal RNA is filed under the name uncultured bacterium. RNAcentral's name for it is "partial 16S ribosomal RNA". It matches the Rfam family "Bacterial small subunit ribosomal RNA", at positions 30 to 507 of the family's 1533-position model. The record is from RNAcentral.